UAGGGGAGCUGAGUGGCGGACGGGUGAGUAACACGUGAGAAUCUGCCUUCAGGACGGAGAUAACCGCUGGAAACGGCGGCUAAUCCCCGAUGAGCCUAAGGGUGAAAAGCGUUAGCGCCUGAAGAGGAGCUCGCGGCUGAUUAGCUAGUUGGUGGGGUAAGAGCCUACCAAGGCAACGAUCAGUAGCUGGUCUGAGAGGAUGGUCAGCCACACUGGGACUGAGACACGGCCCAGACUCCUACGGGAGGCAGCAGUGGGGAAUCUUCCGCAAUGGGCGCAAGCCUGACGGAGCU
Molecule: ribosomal RNA, 293 nt
Filed under: uncultured bacterium
Lineage: Bacteria
Description: partial 16S ribosomal RNA
Rfam family: Bacterial small subunit ribosomal RNA
Source: RNAcentral